This 29-nucleotide non-coding RNA is filed under the name Mus musculus (house mouse). The record is from RNAcentral. Lineage: Eukaryota; Metazoa; Chordata; Mammalia; Rodentia; Muridae.
UCUAUUGGAAGGUACCAGAGAUGUGCAGU